AGUCACUGACAUUAGAUACCCGUGUAGUCCCAGCCCUAAACGAUGCGCGUUAGGUGUAUCGGUGACCACGAGUCACCGAGGUGCCGAAGGGAAACCGUGAAACGUGCCGCCUGGGAAGUACGGUCGCAAGGCUGAAACUUAAAGGAAUUGGCGGGGAGCACCACAACGGGUGGAGCUUGCGGUUUAAUUGGAUUCAACGCCGGAAAUCUUACCGGGACCGACAGCAACAUGAAGGCCAGGCUGAAGACUUUGCCGGAUUAGCUG
Molecule: ribosomal RNA, 264 nt
Filed under: uncultured archaeon
Lineage: Archaea
Description: partial 16S ribosomal RNA
Rfam family: Archaeal small subunit ribosomal RNA
Source: RNAcentral